This 255-nucleotide ribosomal RNA is filed under the name uncultured bacterium. Its description in RNAcentral is "partial 16S ribosomal RNA". It matches the Rfam family "Bacterial small subunit ribosomal RNA", at positions 524 to 776 of the family's 1533-position model. The record is from RNAcentral.
UACGUAGGGGGCAAGCGUUGUUCGGAUUUACUGGGCGUAAAGGGCGCGUAGGCGGCCACCGCAAGUCGACUGUGAAAUCUCCGGGCUUAACCCGGAAAGGUCAGCCGAUACUGCGGGGCUAGAGUGCAGAAGGGGCAACUGGAAUUCUCGGUGUAGCGGUGAAAUGCGUAGAUAUCGAGAGGAACACCUGCGGCGAAGGCGGGUUGCUGGGCUGACACGUGACGCUGAGGCGCGAAAGCUAGGGGAGCGAACGGG